GACGAACGCUGGCGGCGUGCCUAAUACAUGCAAGUCGAACGCAGUGGGGACGGGUUAGUAACACGUGGGUAACCUCCCAUCAGAGGGGAUAACACUUGGAAACAGGUGCUAAACCCAUACUGAUGGAUGAACCCCCAGUGCAUUAGCUACUGGGGAAGGUAACGGCUCACCAAGUCCAAGAUGCAUAACUGACCUGAGAGGAUGAUCGGCCACACUGGGACUGAGACACGGCCCAGACUCCUACGGGAGGCAGAAGUAGGGAAUAUUCGGCAAUGGACGAAAGUCUGACGGAGCAACGCCGCGUGAAUGAAGAAGGUUUUCGGGUCGUAAAACUCUGUUGGUAGGGAGGCGGUAUCUAACCAAAAAGCAACGGCUAACUACGUGCCAGCAGCCGCGGUAAUUC
RNAcentral lists this ribosomal RNA (403 nucleotides) under uncultured bacterium. RNAcentral's name for it is "partial 16S ribosomal RNA". It matches the Rfam family "Bacterial small subunit ribosomal RNA", at positions 28 to 526 of the family's 1533-position model. The record is from RNAcentral.